GUUGUUGUCCCAGGAGAUUUGACCCUGAAGGUUUUAUCCCAUCAGUCAACAGAGAGAGAUGUCAGUGAGAUUUUCCCAGCAGUGCCAAGGAUCGAAGCCAAAUGCCACGUGGUGCAGUGAAAACCUCAGGCAGAUCCUGUAAAUUCCCUGGCAGAUGCUUCACUGUGCAGAUAGCAUCAAAGAGGCAAUUUCAUCUGGACCACUCAUUUUCUGCAAACAGCUUCAGAGUCAACAAAUUGACAUUUGCUGGAGAGAAAAAAUGUUUCAUUGGAGAAUUUGUGACCCUUGCUACUUAACAGCCCCUGUGAAUUUACAGCUUCGGGUCACCUCUGAGCAGCUCCAACUUGGGUUAGGAAGCAGGUCGAUCCCUUGGUGCCGUCUGCCAGGGCAAGGAGGGAGCACUCAGCAACCCCCUGGCCGUGCCAGCCUCACCUGAUGCCAACGAGCGGUUUACCAGCGUGAGCAAAUUUCCAAGAAAUGGGCUGGAGGCAACAGUUUUCCGAAGAGCAUGCCUGGGAUGACUCAACCCUGCCUGCUCAAGUGAGCAGAGAGAGCAACACAAAAGCAUGGCCAGUGACUCACCGCUCCCUAGCCCACAUCUGGUUUCCUGUCUCUGUUUUACAAACGAAGCUCCUCUCUUACCUGCACCAUCACUCAGAUUUCACACCUUCCCUCCCUGCAGGGCACAGCACAAACCAGGUGAGGCAUGGGGUUCAGGGUGAAGCCGACAUCAGCAGUGAGAUCUAGAUCUGACUUGUCCACUCCUGGAGGGGCUUGGAAGACAAAUUUGCGGAGCAAGCCUGCGAAGAAGAGGAACAGCUCCAUUUUGGCCAGUCCUUCUCCAACACAAGCCCUUCGUCCUGAAAACAACCAGGAGAGAAGUAAAUGAUAAGCACCGUAACUGCUAGUGUUGACAUCUGAGACCUUCUAAACUGGGUGCACAGUCUGUAAGAGCAGGCUACUGAGGCAUCUCUCCAGGUUCGAUGACAUGGUUCAUUUCUUCCUGAAUCUUUCCUUGGAGGAAGGAAAGGAGUAAGAAGCUGAUAUUUCUCUUAUCUUGCAACUAGAAUAGUCUUCAGUUUGGCCAAGAUGAAGAAAAGGGAAAACUUUGAGGGGCAUUUAGGAAGAGCAAAAAGUGGGGCAGGAAGGUUUGGGAUGAUCUCCUUGCGUGUGCUGUGUGGCAACUUACUUCACCACGUGGGACAAUCCUGACAAUUGGAUCCCCUUAACCAGCAGUUUCAGCAGAGCAAUGAAGCGAGUACAGUACUGCUCACUGAUGAGAUCUGAGGAUUUUCAGAGAGCUUGCUGUAGACCUAUGAGUAAAACAGUGUUGUCCUUGGUUAUCUUGUGAACACCUGCAAGUUUGUGUCUGCAAAUGACCUCCUGGUUUUACUGGCCUCGUCAUGGUAAGCUGCCUGCUCGCCCCUUGCCUGUAAGGAGGCAUAAAAUAAUGUAGUGCUGUCCGUGUGCUUUGUGCUGGGCUACCCUCACUCAGGUCAUUAACUGUGAGGAUUAAUGAGGGAUCAGCAGGUCCAUUGCUGCUGGGGGGCUGAUGGAUAAGCUCACUGCAAUGGGGCAGGGAUGGCUCUUCUGAAAUUCUGCUGAACCGAAGAAAAGUUUACAUGGCCUCAGCCCAGUGCACGGAUCCCCAGGCUCUGGGCUCACCCCACCAGCAACAGGGGGUCCUGAAAAGUGAAUUUUGCAUGGCCGUGGUGUGUGAGGCACGUCCCACCUGGGGCCCUGUCUCAGCCAGGCCUGGCCAAGGCGGCUCAUAGGCAGGAGCAGGGGUACCGGUUCUCCCAUAAACAUGUUUGUCGAUGCUGGUCUCAGAGGUUUGUUCUUUUUCCAUUUGUUUACAAAUGAACAAAUGUAUUUUAAA
Molecule: long non-coding RNA, 1879 nt
Organism: Cygnus olor (mute swan)
Lineage: Eukaryota; Metazoa; Chordata; Aves; Anseriformes; Anatidae
Exons: 9
Source: RefSeq, a predicted model, not a curated record